AUACGUAGGGGGCAAGCGUUAUCCGGAAUUACUGGGCGUAAAGGGUGCGUAGGUGGUUCAUCAAGUCCUGUGUGAAAGCCUGAGGCUCAACCUCAGCGAGCACGGGAAACUGGUGGACUUGAGUGCAGGAGAGGAAAGUGGAAUUCCUGGUGUAGCGGUGAAAUGCGUAGAUAUCAGGAGGAAUACCAGUGGCGAAGGCGACUUUCUGGACUGUAACUGACACUGAGGCACGAAAGCGUGGGGAGCAAACAGGAUUAGAUACCCUGGUAGUCCACGCCGUAAACGAUGAGUACUAGGUGUCGGCUGUUAAAGGUCGGUGCCGCAGCAAACGCAUUAAGUACUCCGCCUGGGAAGUACGUUCGCAAGAAUGAA
This 372-nucleotide ribosomal RNA is filed under the name uncultured bacterium. RNAcentral's name for it is "bacterial SSU rRNA". It matches the Rfam family "Bacterial small subunit ribosomal RNA", at positions 523 to 898 of the family's 1533-position model. The record is from RNAcentral.